GCGCGGUUGGCGUAGUGGUCUAGCGCGUCACUCGAUUUGAGUAGUAGGGUUGAAAUUCCCGUCGAACCACAGUCAAAGACCGAGUUUCAGAGGGCAAUCAGAACACAAAUAUCCUGAUGAAGACCCGGGUUCGAAUCCCGGACCGCGCA
This is a non-coding RNA of Neurospora sp. IMI 360204, 149 nucleotides long. NCBI's taxonomy places the organism in Eukaryota, Fungi, Ascomycota, Sordariomycetes, Sordariales, Sordariaceae. The record is from the annotation of a GenBank genome assembly.